GUGCCAGCAGCCGCGGUAAUACGAAGGGAGCGAGCGUUGUUCGGAAUCACUGGGCUUAAAGCGUGCGUAGGCGGAUAUGUAAGUAAGAAGUGAAAUCCCUGGGCUUAACCCAGGAACUGCUUUUUAGACUGCAUGUCUUGAAUUCGGUAGAGGUUAGUGGAAUAUCCAGUGUAGAGGUGAAAUUCGCAGAUAUUGGAUGGAACACCAGUGGCGAAGGCGACUAACUGGACCGACAUUGACGCUGAGGCACGAAAGCGUGGGUAGCAAACAGGAUUAGAUACCCUGGUAGUCC
This 292-nucleotide ribosomal RNA is filed under the name uncultured bacterium. RNAcentral's name for it is "partial 16S ribosomal RNA". It matches the Rfam family "Bacterial small subunit ribosomal RNA", at positions 505 to 796 of the family's 1533-position model. The record is from RNAcentral.